GACAGAGGAGCCGAGCGUUAGGCGGAAUCACUGGGCUUAAAGCGUGUGUAGGCGGACCGUUAAGUACCUUGUGAAAUCCCACGGCUCAACCGUGGAACGGCUGGGUAGACUGGCGGUCUUGAGCGGCCUAGGGGCAGAUGGAACAGACGGUGGAGCGGUGAAAUGCGUAGAUAUCGUCUGGAACGCCAAAGGUGAAGACAGUCUGCUGGGGGCCUGCUGACGCUGAGACACGAAAGCCAGGGGAGCGAACGGG
This 253-nucleotide ribosomal RNA is filed under the name uncultured bacterium. RNAcentral's name for it is "partial 16S ribosomal RNA". It matches the Rfam family "Bacterial small subunit ribosomal RNA", at positions 524 to 776 of the family's 1533-position model. The record is from RNAcentral.